Long non-coding RNA from Lolium rigidum, 1900 nucleotides. RefSeq lists it as uncharacterized. Lineage: Eukaryota; Viridiplantae; Streptophyta; Magnoliopsida; Poales; Poaceae. The record is from RefSeq and is a predicted model, not a curated record. The transcript is spliced from 6 exons.
CCACGGCACGCUCCUCUGUGGCUGCUGCACCUCUACCUCAACCAGGAAAGUGGUGCUGCAGCUCUGAUGGCUCUGGCCUUGGUCGCAGUUGUCGUUGGCCGUCGCAAAGGUCGUUCAGGGCUCACAGGUUUCAGUUCCAUAUGCUCCAUCAGUUGAACAAGUGGACAAGAUUCUGGCUCUGUGCUUGGCGCAAAUUCUUCAGUUCUACCGUGAGGUCAACGAGACGAGUAGAACAUGGAGAAGCAAAUAUUAAAGCAGCCAAGGUUUGCAAGUGAAGCUGCUUGCAAUUAUGUGGAGCAGCUGUAUGACAAAAUCAUACAUGGGUGUCUAUAUCUCUUGGCAUGAGGGUGGAUCAAGAUAAAAAAAAUUUGGAAGUACCAAAGAAAGCAACAAGAACAUCAAAAUCAAAUGGUUGUUCAGCGAACAGUACAGUUGAGAGAUAGGAAGGUGAAGUUCUUUGAGGCGGAAGAUUGAGAGGAUGAUAAGGCGACUUGGCAAACAACACCGUUCAAAUGCUGAUGAUGCCAUGAACGAUCUGUCAACAUUGCACGAAGAUCUCGAAUAUGUUACAUUAUUUCCGAAGAACGAUAAAUAUGUCCCCUCUCUUCACUUUGAGGAACACCCUAGAUAUUGUAGAGAAGAAGAAUUCCUUGCGUAAGCAGAUCAAGGAGAAUAUCAUGGUUGCUGCUGCAAAUUAAAAGGACUUAGAAGAGACAGUAAGUGAUGAUGAUACCUUGGAUGUGAGUGGUGAUGACUUCAUUCAUGUCUUGAAGUUCAGGGUAUAAAGUUGCAGAUGAUGAGCUGACAAACAAAAGUCCAAAGUUUGAUUCAAGACUCUUGGACAUUGUGUUUGCUUCUAAAUUUGCAGAAAUAUAUCAUGCAUCAAGUUUGUUACUCAGAUCAUUACAUCGGGUGAAUGAGUUCUCAAUUACUUUGUAGUAGUUUGGCUUAGAUUGUUGCAUACAUCAGUUAGUGAUCCAGGGCUUUUCUAACGCUAUAUGUGAUUAAUCAUAAUACGGAAUUUAAUCCUUGAGAUACUUCUUGACGGCUACAAAAUCCUCUCUAGGUCUGCAAGAUAGCUAUAAAAUCCUUUUGCUCCCGCGAGAACUAGCAGCUGGUGUUUUCGAUUUGGGUAUAACCAAUUCUACCUAAGAAUUAAAAUAAAAUAAUAGAACACAUAAACCUACACAUGUGCUUGUUCUGAAAGUAUUAGUGAUAAGAGCUCUUGAUGGUAUGAACAUGGUACUCAUUAUAUGAUCAUGCAAACAUUGUUCUGGAAGUUUAAACCAUACGUUGCUCAGAGUUUGUCUGUUUUUUUGGCUAACCAAGCAUUGGAAAUCAAGUUGUGGGGCUGCACCAGAAAACGUAAGACAUAUGUUUACAUGAACUUGUGUAAAUGAAUUUACUACUUGUGUCCUUAGUUUAGCAUUUUUAUUACAGGUUAUUAGUUUAUAUAUGCACAUUAUAGCAUUUUGAAUUCGCAUCAGAGCAUGCCUCAUGUGAGCUAUAAGCUAGGUAUUUGGUUUGAUGAGCUAGAAGUACUUACUGAAUUUGUAGUUGCUUACGAGCCAACAUGCUACGCUAUCUCUUAUUCUCUUCACUAUAUUAUCGAUUUGGAAAACUAUUCAAAAAUUGCAUCAUCCUCUGCGAAGAAAAUAUCACCUUAGCAGUUUUUUUAAACUGGCAUCUGCACGAGUUGCAACAACAUCCCAUGCAGCUUCGAGCAGCUACUUUUUUUUUGAACUUGCAUCUACGAGGCAUGUGUUAUGUUUUGAAUCAAGUUUCCAAUGCAAUGUCAUGUUUUUAAAAAUGCUUACAUGUUGUGACUGAAGCAUUUGCACCAUUUGUGGCUGACUUUGAUAUUUAAGGGAUUCUUCAGUUUUGAGAGUUGUUCACCAUC